RNAcentral lists this ribosomal RNA (490 nucleotides) under uncultured bacterium. RNAcentral's name for it is "partial 16S ribosomal RNA". It matches the Rfam family "Bacterial small subunit ribosomal RNA", at positions 30 to 507 of the family's 1533-position model. The record is from RNAcentral.
AUUGAACGCUGGCGGCGGGCCUAACACAUGCAAGUCCAACGGUAACAGGAAGCAGCUUGCUGCUUUGCUGACGAGUGGCGGACGGGUGAGUAAUGUCUGGGAAACUGCCCGAUGGAGGGGGAUAACUACUGGAAACGGUAGCUAAUACCGCAUAACGUCGCAAGACCAAAGAGGGGGACCUUAGGGCCUCUUGCCAUCGGAUGUGCCCAGAUGGGAUUAGCUAGUAGGUGGGGUAACGGCUCACCUAGGCGACGAUCCCUAGCUGGUCUGAGAGGAUGACCAGCCACACUGGAACUGAGACACGGUCCAGACUCCUACGGGAGGCAGCAGUGGGGAAUAUUGCACAAUGGGCGCAAGCCUGAUGCAGCCAUGCCGCGUGUAUGAAGAAGGCCUUCGGGUUGUAAAGUACUUUCAGCGGGGAGGAAGGGAGUAAAGUUAAUACCUUUGCUCAUUGACGUUACCCGCAGAAGAAGCACCGGCUAACUCCGUG